Molecule: ribosomal RNA, 403 nt
Filed under: Verrucomicrobiota bacterium
Lineage: Bacteria; Pseudomonadati; Verrucomicrobiota
Description: Verrucomicrobia bacterium partial 16S ribosomal RNA
Rfam family: Bacterial small subunit ribosomal RNA
Source: RNAcentral
UGGGGAAUAUUGCACAAUGGGCGCAAGCCUGAUGCAGCAACGCCGCGUGAACGAUGAAGGUCUUCGGAUCGUAAAGUUCUGUUGCAGGGGAAGAUAAUGACGGUACCCUGUGAGGAAGCCCCGGCUAACUACGUGCCAGCAGCCGCGGUAAUACGUAGGGGGCUAGCGUUAUCCGGAUUUACUGGGCGUAAAGGGUGCGUAGGUGGUCUUUCAAGUCGGUGGUUAAAGGCUACGGCUCAACCGUAGUUAGCCUCCGAAACUGGAAGACUUGAGUGCAGGAGAGGAAAGUGGAAUUCCCAGUGUAGCGGUGAAAUGCGUAGAUAUUGGGAGGAACACCGGUGGCGAAAGCGGCUUUUUGGCCUGCAACUGACACUGAGGAGCGAAAGCGUGGGGAGCAAACAGG